GACGAACGCUGGCGGCGUGCUUAACACAUGCAAGUCGAACGGUGAACUCCGCUUGCGGGGGGAUCAGUGGCGCACGGGUGAGUAACACGUGGGCAACCUGCCCUCAGCUCUGGGAUAACUCCAAGAAAUUGGGGCUAAUACCGGAUAUGACCGCUGACCGCAUGGUCUGGUGGUGGAAAGAUUUAUCGGCUGGGGAUGGGCCCGCGGCCUAUCAGCUUGUUGGUGGGGUAGUGGCCUACCAAGGCGACGACGGGUAGCCGGCCUGAGAGGGUGACCGGCCACACUGGGACUGAGACACGGCCCAGACUCCUACGGGAGGCAGCAGGGGGGAAUAUUGCGCAAUGGGCGAAAGCCUGACGCAGCGACGCCGCGUGGGGGAUGACGGCCUUCGGGUUGUAAACCGCUUUCAGCAGGGACGAAGCGAAAGUGACGGUACCUGCAGAAGAAGCACCGGCCAACUACGUG
RNAcentral lists this ribosomal RNA (465 nucleotides) under uncultured bacterium. Its description in RNAcentral is "partial 16S ribosomal RNA". It matches the Rfam family "Bacterial small subunit ribosomal RNA", at positions 28 to 507 of the family's 1533-position model. The record is from RNAcentral.